Molecule: ribosomal RNA, 652 nt
Filed under: uncultured archaeon
Lineage: Archaea
Description: bacterial SSU rRNA
Rfam family: Archaeal small subunit ribosomal RNA
Source: RNAcentral
GCCUAAAGGGGCCGUAGCCGGUUUGGUGGGUCCCUGGUGAAAUCCUGCGGCCUAACCGUAGGGCUUGCUAGGGAAACUACCAGACUUGAGGACGGGAGAGGUCAGGGGUACUUCUGGGGGAGGGGUGAAAUCCUAUAAGCCUAGAAGGACCACCAGUGGCGAAGGCGCCUGACAUGAACGUGCCUGACGGUGAGGGACGAGAGCUAGGGUCGCGAAACGGAUUAGAUACCCGUGUAGUCCUAGCCGUAAACGAUGCUGACUAGGUGGGGCGCAUCCUUAGCGGUUGCGCCAUGCCGAAGAGAAAUCGUUAAGUCAGCCGCCUGGGAAGUACGGCCGCAAGGCUGAAACUUAAAGGAAUUGGCGGGGGAGCACUACAAGGGGUGGAAGCUGCGGUUUAAUUAGAUUCAACGCUGGACAACUCACCGGAGGCGACAGCAGAAUGAAGGCCAGAUUGAAGAUCUUGCCGAACACGCUGAGAGGAGGUGCAUGGCCGUCGUCAGCUCGUGCUGUAAAGUGUUCGGUUAAGUCCGAAAACGAGCGAGACCCACAUCCUUAGUUGCAACCUGCUGCUCCGGCAGUAGGGCACACUAAGGAGACUGCCCGCUAUAAGUGGGAGGAGGGAGUGGACAACGAUAGGUCCGUAUGCCCCUAA